AACAGAGAAAAGAACUCAAAAACAAGAAAAAGAAGGCCCGUGGAACUGCCAAGGCUAAAGUGGGUGCUGCUGGCAAAAAGAGAUAGGUUAACUAAAUUAUUGCCUAAGGUUCUUUACAACUGGCUUAGGUCAGCUUCGAUUUUGUUGAUUCGAUUUUUGAGUUUGUCGACUUUUUCUUUAACUCUUUGGAACCUCAGUUUGGACUUUUCAAUUACUUGGCAAGCUGCUGAG
RNAcentral lists this ribosomal RNA (231 nucleotides) under Fabrea salina. Its description in RNAcentral is "partial Eukaryotic large subunit ribosomal RNA". The record is from RNAcentral. Lineage: Eukaryota; Ciliophora; Heterotrichea; Heterotrichida; Fabreidae.